Molecule: transfer RNA, 68 nt
Filed under: Ictidomys tridecemlineatus (thirteen-lined ground squirrel)
Lineage: Eukaryota; Metazoa; Chordata; Mammalia; Rodentia; Sciuridae
Description: Spermophilus tridecemlineatus (thirteen-lined ground squirrel) tRNA
Rfam family: tRNA
About the family: Transfer RNA (tRNA) molecules are approximately 80 nucleotides in length. Their secondary structure includes four short double-helical elements and three loops (D, anti-codon, and T loops).
Source: Rfam by way of RNAcentral
GGGGAUGUAGCUCAGUUGGUAGAGUGCUUGCCUCACGUGGGCCCUGAGUUCAAUCCCCAGCACCACCA